CAGUAGCCACGGUAAUACGUAGGUGGCAAGCGUUGUCCGGAAUUAUUGGGCGUAAAGGGCUCGCAGGCGGUUUCUUAAGUCUGAUGUGAAAGCCCCCGGCUCAACCGGGGAGGGUCAUUGGAAACUGGGAAACUUGAGUGCAGAAGAGGAGAGUGGAAUUCCACGUGUAGCGGUGAAAUGCGUAGAGAUGUGGAGGAACACCAGUGGCGAAGGCGACUCUCUGGUCUGUAACUGACGCUGAGGAGCGAAAGCGUGGGGAGCGGACAGGAUUAGAUACCCCUGUAGUCCCUGUCUCUUAUCC
Molecule: ribosomal RNA, 301 nt
Filed under: uncultured bacterium
Lineage: Bacteria
Description: partial 16S ribosomal RNA
Rfam family: Bacterial small subunit ribosomal RNA
Source: RNAcentral